CGAAAUGAAAACAAAAACAUUAUUUUUUUUCUAUUGACGCGCCAAUAAAACAGUACCAGCUGGCACCGUGCAACUCCACCUCUUGCGACAAGGCUGACAUUUCCACCUCGCUUCGUCGACCUCGGGUCUCCCCUGCUCUUCAUAUCUCCUCUCUCCACCCCCACCCUCCCCGAGCAUCAACACCGCCAAGAACACGAACUCCAACAAGACGAGGAUCGAUCGACACGGCAACGCGAGGGCGCACGCCGAUCGAUCGAGCUGAUUACGAUCGAUUCAAGCUUUGGCCAUGCGGAGGUCGGACUGGGAGGACCGGUGCCGGCGGCACCCGGAGCACCGGCUGUCCAAGGGCGUGUGCCCGAGCUGCCUCCGCGAUCGCCUCGCCCACCUCUCCGCCAACUCCUCCGCCACCACCACCCUGACGCGCGCCUCCAACUCGGCCAGCACCUCCCCCUACUCCUCCACCGACUCCCCUCCGCUCCACCACGCAGCCCUCUCCGCCGACGCCACCUCCGUCCACGUCGUCGGCGCCGGCGCCGGCUCCUCCUUCGUCAACGUCUCCGCCUUCUCGCAGCCGCUCAUGCCGACGGCCUCAAAGAAACCAGCAGAAGCCAAGGGAAAGGACGGCGAGGCGAAGAAGAAGAAGAAGAGCAGCAGCAAGAAGAAGAUCGGGAGGUUCCUGUCGAGGCUGGUCGGGACGGAGAAGCGGCGGAAAACAGGGGAAGGCGACGGCGGCGAGCUCUUCCAUUCCAGCACCAUGAAGGAGAAGUCGUCGACCAAGUGGGUCUUCUUUUGAUCAGACCGGCCGGCACCAGCUACCAACCAUACGAACCAUGCUUGGCCUUUCUCGGUUCUCGAUCGAUCGGCGCCGUGUAUAUACACGAGAUCAAGUAGCUGACCGUAAGGAGAAGCAUACAUAUAUGGUGAGAAAUUGCAUAUGGUUAUUGAUUUUUUUAGGACACAGUGUAUGGAUGUAAAUUAACGUGUAUUUGUAUCUAGUUUCUCUAGCAUAGUAUGUACUGUGUGAAUGGCUUCUGGGAUUCACGAAUUAUACGACAGUUUUGCUUAAUUUUCUCGCAUACCUUUGGUCUUGUUACUAUUGGUACUUGUUACUUGUUCUGACG
RNAcentral lists this ribosomal RNA (1121 nucleotides) under Triticum aestivum (bread wheat). Its description in RNAcentral is "partial small subunit ribosomal RNA". Lineage: Eukaryota; Viridiplantae; Streptophyta; Magnoliopsida; Poales; Poaceae. The record is from RNAcentral.